This 253-nucleotide ribosomal RNA is filed under the name uncultured bacterium. RNAcentral's name for it is "partial 16S ribosomal RNA". It matches the Rfam family "Bacterial small subunit ribosomal RNA", at positions 524 to 776 of the family's 1533-position model. The record is from RNAcentral.
GACGGAAGGUGCAAGCGUUGCUCGGAAUCACUGGGCGUAAAGGGUGCGUAGGCGGCUGUGCAAGUCUGGCGUGAAAGCCCCGGGCUCAGCCCGGGAAGUGCGCUCGAAACUGCACGGCUCGAGUGCCGGAGGGGAGAGUGGAAUUCCUGGCGUAGCGGUGAAAUGCGUAGAUAUCAGGAGGAAUACCGGUGGCGAAAGCGACUCUCUGGACGGCAACUGACGCUGAGGCACGAAAGCGUGGGGAGCGAACAGG